RNAcentral lists this ribosomal RNA (337 nucleotides) under Actinomycetes bacterium. RNAcentral describes it as "bacterial SSU rRNA". It matches the Rfam family "Bacterial small subunit ribosomal RNA", at positions 1 to 330 of the family's 1533-position model. The record is from RNAcentral. Lineage: Bacteria; Bacillati; Actinomycetota; Actinomycetes.
UUCACGGAGAGUUUGAUCCUGGCUCAGGACGAACGCUGGCGGCGCGCUUAAUACAUGCAAGUCGAGCGAGAACCUGGGCUUCGGCCCAGGGGACAGCGGCGAACGGGUGAGUAACACGUGGGUAAUCAACCCCCGACACCGGGAUAGCCCAGGGAAACUUGGAUUAAUACCGGAUGCUCCGUCUGGCCCUCGGGCCGGCCGGAAAAGGGUAGCUUCGGCCUCCGGUCGGGGACGAGCCCGCGGCGGAUUAGCUUGUUGGUGAGGUAAAAGCUCACCAAGGCGACGAUCCGUAGCUGGUCUGAGAGGACGAUCAGCCACACUGGGACUGAGACACGGC